AGAAGUGACUAGAAGACAAGAGUGUGAGCCUUCUGCUAUGCCCAGACAAGGCCACUAGAGGGCUCCUUGGUCUAGUGGUAACGUCA
Chlorocebus sabaeus (green monkey) is the source of this 86-nucleotide microRNA precursor. NCBI's taxonomy places the organism in Eukaryota, Metazoa, Chordata, Mammalia, Primates, Cercopithecidae. The record is from Ensembl.